Molecule: long non-coding RNA, 6385 nt
Organism: Cyprinus carpio carpio
Lineage: Eukaryota; Metazoa; Chordata; Actinopteri; Cypriniformes; Cyprinidae
Source: Ensembl
GGAAGUCUCUGUUGUUGAAGAUAUUUCUGCUACACUAGUGGUGGAUGUUUCAGCAGGAGUCGUUAUUGUGGAAGUCUCUGUGGUUGCAGAUGUUUCUGCUGUACUAGUUCUGGAUGUUUCAGCAGGAGUCUUUAUUGUGGAAUUCCCUGUUGUAGAAGAUGUUUCUGCUACACUAACGGAGGAUGUUUCAGCAGGAGUCAUGAUUGUGGAUGUCUCUUUUGUAGUAGAUAUUUCUGCUUCACUAGGGGUGGAUAUUUCAGGUGUAGUUGAUUUGAUAGUUGAAGUCUCUGUUGUUGUAGAUGUUUCUGCUACACGGAUAGUGGAUGUUUCAGAAGGAAUUGUUGUGAUUGUGGAAGUCUCUGUUGUUGUAAAUGUUUCUGCAGCACUAGUAGUAGAUAUUUCAGCAGGAGUAGUGAUUAUGGAAGUCUCUGUUGUUGUAGAUGUUUCUGCUGCACUAGUGGUGGAUGUUUCAGCAGGAAUUGUUGUGAUGGUGGAUAUCUGUGUAGUAGAUGUUUCUUUUGCAAUGGUGGUGGGUGUUUCAGCAGGUAUUGUUGGGAUUGUGGAAGUCUCUGUUGUUAAAGAUGUUUCUGCUGCAUUAGAGGUGGAUGUUUCAGCAGGAAUAGUGAUUGUGAAACUCUCUGUUGUUGUAGAUGUUUCUGCAACACUAAAAGUGGAUAUUUCAGCUGCAGUUGUUGUGAGUGUUGAAGUCUCUGUUGUUGAAGAUAUUUCUACUACACUAAUAGUGGAUGUUUCAGCAGGAGUCGUGAUUGUGGAAGUCUCCAUUGUUGUAGAUGUUUCUGCUACACUGAUAGUAGAGGUUUCAGCAGGAAUUGUUGUGAUUGUGGAAGUCUCUGUUGUUGAAAAUAUUUCUGCUACACUAGUGGUGGGUGUUUCAGCAGGAGAAGAUGUGAAUGUAGCAGUCUCUGUUGUUAUAGAUGUUUCUGCUACACUAGGGGUGGGUUUUUCAGCAGGAAUCGUUAUUGUUGAAGACUCUUUUGUUGUAGAUAUUUCUGUUUCACUGAUAGUAGAUAUUUCAGCAGAAGUAGUGAUUGUGGAAGUCUUUGUUAUUGAUGAUGUUUCUGUUGCACUAGCGGGGGAUGUUUUAGCAGGAGUUGCUGUGAUUGUGGAUGUGUCUGUUGUUGUAGAUGUUUCUGCUGCACUAAUAGUGGAUGUUUCAGCAGGAAUUGUUGUGAUUGUGGAAGUCUCUGAUGUUGAAGAUGUUUCUGUUGCCCUAGUGAUGGAUGUUUCAGUGGGAAUUGUUGUGAUUGUGGAAGCCUCUGUUGUCGAAGAUUUUUCUGCUACACUUAUAGUCGAUGUUUCAGCCACCGUUGUUGUGAUUGUGGAAGUCUCUGUUGAUGUAGAUGUUUCUGCUUUACUAGUGGUGGAUGUUUCAGUGGGAGUCGUUAUUGUGGAAGUCUCUGUGGUUGCAGAUGUUUCUGCUGUACUAGUUCUGGAUGUUUCAGCAGGAGUCUUUAUUGUGGAAUUCCCUGUUGUAGAAGAUGUUUCUGCUACACUAACGGAGGAUGUUUCAGCAGGAGUCAUGAUUGUGGAUGUCUCUUUUGUAGUAGAUAUUUCUGCUUCACUAGGGGUGGAUAUUUCAGGUGUAGUUGAUUUGAUAGUUGAAGUCUCUGUUGUUGUAGAUGUUUCUGCUACACGGAUAGUGGAUAUUACAGCUGGAGUUGUUGUGCUUGUGGAAGUCUCUGUGGUUAAAGAUGUUUCUGCUGCACUAGUGGUGGAUGUUUCAGAAGGAAUUGUCGUGAUUGUGGAAGUCUCUUUUGUUGUAGAUAUUUCUGCUUCACUGAUAGUAGAUAUUUCAGCAGGAGUAGUGAUUAUGGAAGUCUCUGUUGUAGUAGAUUUUUCUGCUGCACUAGUAGUGGAUGUUUCAGCAGGAGUCGUUGUUGUGGAAGUCUCUGUUGUAGUAGAUGUUUCUGCUGCACUACUGGUGGAUGUUUCAGCAGGAGUAGUUAUUGUAGAAGUCUCUGUUGUUGUAAAUGUUUCUGCUGCAUUAGAGGUGGAUUUUUCAGCAGGAAUAGUGAUUGUGGAAGUCUCUGUUGUUGAAGAUAUUUCUGCUACACUAGUGGUGGGUGUUUCAGCAGGAAUUGUUGGGAUUGUGUAAGUCUCUGUUGUUAAAGAUGUUUCUGCUGCACUACUGGUGGAUGUUUCAGCAGUUAUUGUUGGGAUUUUGGAAGUCUCUGUUGUUAAAUAUGUGUCUGUGGCACUAGUGGUGUAUGUUUCAACAGGAAUUGUUGGGAUUCUGGAAGUCCCAGUUGUUGUAUAAGUUUCUGCUGCAUUAGAGGUGGUUGUUUCAGCAGGUAUAGUGAUUGUGGAAGUCUCUGUUGUUGAAGAUGUUUCUGCAACACUGAUAGUAGAGGUUUCAGCAGGAAUUGUUGUGAUUGGGAAAGUCUCUGUUGUUGAAAAUAUUUCUGCUACACUAGUUGUGGAUGUUUCAGCAGGAGAAAAUGUGAUUGUAAUAGUCUCUGUUGUUAUAGACGUUUCUGCUACACUAAUAGUGGAUGUUUCAGCCGGAGGUGUUGUGAAUAUAGAAGUCUCUGUUGUUGAAAAUAUUUCUGCUACACUAGUGGUGGGUGUUUCAGCAGGAAUCGUUAUUGUUGAAGACUCUUUUGUUGUAGAUGUUUCUGUUUCACUGACAGUAGAUAUUUCAGCAGAAGUAGUGAUUGUGGAAGUCUCUGUUGUUGUAGAUGUUUCUGAUGCACUAGUGGUUAAUGUUUCAGCAAUUGUCAUCAUUGUGGAAGUCUCUGAUCUCGUAGAUGUUUCUGCUGCACUAGUAGAGGAUGUUUCAGCUGGAAUUGUUGUGAUUGUGGAACUCUCUGUUGUUGUAGAUGUUUCUGUUACACUGAUAGUAAAGGUUUCAGCAGGAAUUGUUGUGAUCGUGGAAGUCUCUGUUGAAGACGUUUCUGCAUCACUAGUGGUGGAUGUUUCAUCAGGAAUUGAUGUGAUGGUGGAUAUCUGUGUAGUAGAUUUUUCUGCUAUACUAGUAGUGGAUGUUUCAGCAGGAGUCGUUGUUGUUGAAGUCUCUGUUGUAGUAGAUGUUUCUUUUGCACUAGUGAUUGGUGUUUCAGCAGGAAUUGUUGGGAUUGUGGAAGUCUCUGUUGUUAAAGAUAUUUUUGCUGCACUAGUGGUGUAUGUUUCAACAGGAAUUGUUGGAAUUCUGGAAGUCCCUGUUGUUGUAGAAGUUUCUGCUUCACUACUGGUGGAUGUUUUAGCAGGAGUAGUGCUUGUGGAAGUCUCUGUUUUUGUAGAUGUUUCUGUUGCAUUAGUGGUGGAUGUUUCAGCAGGAGUUGUUGUAAUUGUGGAAGUCUCUGUUGUUGAAGAUAUUUCUGCUACACUAAUAGUGGAUGUUUCAGCAGGAGUCGUGAUUGUGAAAGUCUCCAUUGUUGUAGAUGUUUCUGCUACACUGAUGGUGGAUGUUUCAGCAGGAAUAGUUGUGAUUGUGGAAGUCUCUGUUGUUGUAGAUUUUUCUGCUGCACUAGUGGUGGAUGUUUCAUCCGGAGUCGUGGAUGUGGGAGUCUCCAUUGUUGUAGAUGUUUCUGCUACACUCAUAGUGGAUGUUUUAGCUGGAGUUGUUAUGAUUGUGGGAAUCUCUGUUGUUGAAAAUAUUUCUGCUACACUAGUGGUGGAUGCUUCAGGAGGAGACGAUGUGAUUGUAGUAGUCUCUGUUGUUAUAGAUGUUUCUGCUACACUAGUAGUGGAUGUUUCAGCCGCAGGUGUUAUGAAUGUUGAAGUCUCUGUUGUUAAAGAUAUUUCUGCUGCACUACUGGUGGAUGUUUCAGCAGGUAUUGCUGGGAUUGUGGAAGUCUCUGUUGUUAAAUAUGUGUCUGCUGCACUAGUGGUGUAUGUUUCAAAAGGAAUUGUUGGAAUUCUGGAAGUCCCUGUUGUUGUAGAAGUUUCUGCUUCACUAGUGGUGGAUGUUUUAGCAGGAGUAGUGGUUGUGGAAGUCUCUGUUUUUGUAGAUGUUUCUGCUACACUGAUAGUGGAUGUUUUAGCUGGAGUUGUUAUGAUUGUGGGAAUCUCUGUUGUUGAAAAUAUUUCUGCUACACUAGUGGUGGAUGUUUUAGGAGGAGACGAUGUGAUUGUAUUAGUCUCUGUUGUUGUAGAAGUUUCUGCUGCACUAGUAGCGGAUGUUUCAGCAGGAUUCGUGACUGUGGAAGUCUCUUUGGUAGUAGAUGUUUCUGCUUCACUAGUGGUGGAUGUUUCAGCAGGAGUAGUGAUUGUGAAAGUCUCUGUUGUUGUAUAUGUUUCUGCUACACUAAAAGUGGAUGUUUCCGCAGAAGUUGUUGUGAGUGUGGAAGUCUCUGUUGUUGAAGAUAUUUCAGCUACACUAAUAGUGGAUGUUUCAGCAGGAGUCGUGAUUGUGAAAGUCUCCAUUGUUGUAGAUGUUACUGCUACACUGAUGGUGGAUGUUUCAGCAGGAAUUUUUGUAAUUGUGGAAGUCUCUGUUGUUGAAGACGUUUCUGCAUCACUAGUGGUGGAUGUUUCAUCAGGAAAUGAUGUGAUGGUGGAUAUCUGUUUAGUAGAUUUUUCUGCUAUACUAGUAGUGGAUGUUUCAGGAGGAGUCGUUGUUGUGGAAGUCUCUGUUGUAGGAGAUGUUUCUGCUGCACUAGUGGUGGAUGUUUCAUCAGGAAUUGAUGUGAUGGUGGAUAUCUCUUUAGUAGAUUUUUCUGCUAUACUAGUAGUGGAUGUUUCAGCAGGAGUCGUUGUUCUGGAAGUCUCUGUUGUUGUAGAAGUUUCUGCUCCACUAGUGGUGGAUGUUUCAGCAGGAGUAGUGACUGUGAAAGUCUCUGUUGUUGUAGAUGUUUCUGAAACACUAAAAGUGGAUGUUUCAGCUGCAGUUGUUGUUAGUGUGGAAGUCUCUGUUGUUGAAGAUAUUUCUGCUACAAUAAUAGUGGAUGUUUCAGCAGGAGUCGUGAUUGUGGAAGUCAUUUUUGUAGAUGUUUCUGCUACACUGAUAGUAGAGGUUUCAGCAGGAAUUGUUGUGAUUGUGGAAUUCUCUGUUGUAGUAGAUAUUUCUGCUGCACUACUGGUGGAUGUUUCAGCAGGUAUUGUUGGGAUUGUGGAAGUCUUUGUUGUUAAAUAUGUUUCUGCUUCAAUAGUGGUGGAUGUUUCAGCAGGAGUAGUGAUUGUGGAAGUCUCUGUUGUUGUAGAUAUUUCUGCUGCUUUAGUGGUGGAUGUUUCAGCAGAAGUUGUUGUGAUUGUGGAAGUUUCUGUUGUUGUAGAUGUUUCUGCUGCACUAGUGGUGGAUGUUUCAGGAGGAGUCGUGGAUGUGAAAGUCUCCAUUGUUGUAGAUGUUUCUGCUACACUGAUAGUGGAUGUUUUAGCUGGAGUUGUUAUGAUUGUGGGAAUCUCUGUUGUUGAAAAUAUUUCUGUGACACUAGUGGUGGAUGUUUCAUCAGGAUUCGUGACUGUGGAAGUCUCUUUGGUAGUUGAUGUUUCUGCUUCACUAGUGUUGGAUGUUUCAGUAGGAGUAGUAAUUGUGAAAGUCUCUGUUGUUGUAUAUGUUUCUGCUACACUUAAAGUGGAUGUUUCAGCAGAAGUUGUUGUGAGUGUGGAAGUCUCUGUUGUUAAAUAUGUGUCUGUGGCACUAGUGGUGUAUGUUUCAACAGGAAUUGUUGGAAUUCUGGAAGUCCCUGUUGUUGUAGAAGUUUCUGCUUCACUAAUAGUGGAUUUUUCAGCAGUAGUCGUGAUUGUGAAAGUCUCCAUUGUUGUAGAUGUUUCUGCUACACUGAUGGUGGAUGUUUCAGCAGAAAUUAUUUUGAUUGUGGAAGUCUCUGUUGUUGUAGAUGUUUUUUCUGCACUAGUGGUGGAUGUUUCAGUAGGAGUCGUUAUAGUGGAAGUGUCUGUUGUUGUAGGUGUUUGUGUUGCACUAAUUGUGGGUGUUUCACUGAUAGUGGAUAUUUCAGCUGGAUUUGUUGUGAUUGUGGAAGUCUCUUUUGUAGUAGAUGUUUCUGGUGCACUAGUGGUGGAUGUUUCAGCAAUAGUCGUGAAUGUGGGAGUCUCCAUUGUUGAAGACGUUUCUACAUCACUAGUGGUGGAUGUUUCGGCAGGAAUUGUUGUGAUGGUGGAUAUCUGUGUAGUAGAUUUUUCUGCUGCACUAGUAGUGGAUGUUUCAGCAGGAGUCAUUGUUGUGGAAGUCUCCAUUGUUGUAGAUGUUUCUGCUACACUGAUUGUGGUUAUUUCAGCAGGAAUUGUUGUGAUUGUGGAAGUCUCUGUUGUUGAAGAUGUUGCUGUAGCACUAGUGCUGGAUGUUUCAGGUGGAGUUGUUAUGAUUGUCGAAGUCUCUGUUGUAGAUAUUUCUGCUGCACUAGUAGUGGAUGUUUCAGUUGUAGUUGUUAUGAUUGUGGACUGCUCUGUUUUUGUUGUAGAUGUU